UCACCCUGACCAGUGGUGAGGUGAGCAAAGGCUUGGGAUGACAAUCCAAAGGUCUGCGGAUCGAACCCGGUCAGGGAAG
Tetranychus urticae (two-spotted spider mite) is the source of this 79-nucleotide microRNA precursor. It matches the Rfam family "mir-5729 microRNA precursor family". The record is from Rfam. Lineage: Eukaryota; Metazoa; Arthropoda; Arachnida; Trombidiformes; Tetranychidae.